Molecule: ribosomal RNA, 480 nt
Filed under: uncultured bacterium
Lineage: Bacteria
Description: partial 16S ribosomal RNA
Rfam family: Bacterial small subunit ribosomal RNA
Source: RNAcentral
GAUGAACGCUGGCGGCGUGCUUAACACAUGCAAGUCGAACGAAACACCUUAUUUGAUUUUCUUCGGAACUGAAGAUUUGGUGAUUGAGUGGCGGACGGGUGAGUAACGCGUGGGUAACCUGCCCUGUACAGGGGGAUAACAGUCAGAAAUGACUGCUAAUACCGCAUAAGACCACAGCACCGCAUGGUGCAGGGGUAAAAACUCCGGUGGUACAGGAUGGACCCGCGUCUGAUUAGCUGGUUGGUGAGGUAACGGCUCACCAAGGCGACGAUCAGUAGCCGGCUUGAGAGAGUGAACGGCCACAUUGGGACUGAGACACGGCCCAAACUCCUACGGGAGGCAGCAGUGGGGAAUAUUGCACAAUGGGGGGAACCCUGAUGCAGCGACGCCGCGUGAGUGAAGAAGUAUUUCGGUAUGUAAAGCUCUAUCAGCAGGGAAGAAAAUGACGGUACCUGACUAAGAAACCCCGGCUAACUACGU